UUUCCGGUUGAUCCUGCCAGAGGCUACUGCUAUCGGGGUUCGAUUAAGCCAUGCGAGUUAAAUGUUCUUUGUGAACAUAGCGAACUGCUCAGUAACACGUGGAUAACCUACCCUUAGGACCGGAAUAACCCCGGGAAACUGGGGAUAAUACCGGAUAAGCCAUAGACGCUGGAAUGCCCUAUGGUUCAAAGCUCCGGCGCCUAAGGAUGGAUCUGCGGUCUAUCAGGUUGUAGUGGGUGUAACGUACCUACUAGCCGACGACGGAUACGGGUUGUGAGAGCAAGAGCCCGGAGAUGGAUUCUGAGACACGAAUCCAGGCCCUACGGGGUGCAGCAGGCGCGAACACUUUACAAUGCGGGAAACCGCGAUAAGGGAACCCCGAGUGCCAGCAUCAAAUGUUGGCUGUCCAGAUGAUUAAAAAUCAUUUGUUAGCAAGGGCCGGGCAAGACCGGUGCCAGCCGCCGCGGUAACACCGGCGGCCCGAGUGGUAGCCGUUUUUAUUGGGUCUAAAGGGUCCGUAGCCGGCUUGAUAAGUCCUUUGGGAAAUCUGGCAGCUUAACUGUCAGGCUUCUAAGGGAUACUGUCAGGCUUGGGACCGGAAGAGGUAAGGGGUACUCCAGGGGUAGGAGUGAAAUCUUGUAAUCCCUGGGGGACCAUCUGUGGCGAAGGCGCCUUACCAGAACGGGUCCGACGGUGAGGGACGAAAGCUAGGGGAGCAAACCGGAUUAGAUACCCGGGUAGUCCUAGCUGUAAACGAUGCUCGCUAGGUGUCAGACACGGUGCGACCGUGUUUGGUGCCGCAGGGAAGCCGUGAUCUCGCCACCUGGGAAGUACGGUCGCAAGGCUGAAACUUAAAGGAAUGGCGGGGGAGCACUAAAUCGGAAUUCC
This 888-nucleotide ribosomal RNA is filed under the name uncultured archaeon. Its description in RNAcentral is "bacterial SSU rRNA". It matches the Rfam family "Archaeal small subunit ribosomal RNA", at positions 1 to 893 of the family's 1478-position model. The record is from RNAcentral.